This 253-nucleotide ribosomal RNA is filed under the name Blautia luti. RNAcentral describes it as "partial 16S ribosomal RNA". It matches the Rfam family "Bacterial small subunit ribosomal RNA", at positions 524 to 776 of the family's 1533-position model. The record is from RNAcentral. Lineage: Bacteria; Bacillati; Bacillota; Clostridia; Lachnospirales; Lachnospiraceae.
UACGUAGGGGGCAAGCGUUAUCCGGAUUUACUGGGUGUAAAGGGAGCGUAGACGGAUGGACAAGUCUGAUGUGAAAGGCUGGGGCUCAACCCCGGGAUUGCAUUGGAAACUGCCCGUCUUGAGUGCCGGAGAGGUAAGCGGAAUUCCUAGUGUAGCGGUGAAAUGCGUAGAUAUUAGGAGGAACACCAGUGGCGAAGGCGGCUUACUGGACGGUAACUGACGUUGAGGCUCGAAAGCGUGGGGAGCAAACAGG